Molecule: long non-coding RNA, 1409 nt
Organism: Phragmites australis (common reed)
Lineage: Eukaryota; Viridiplantae; Streptophyta; Magnoliopsida; Poales; Poaceae
Exons: 2
Source: RefSeq, a predicted model, not a curated record
CAUCUCUCGCUCUCUCCAGAACCCUCUCCUCCUGCCUCCUCCGCACCUAGAGCAAGAGAGCAGCAGCAGCAGGAGGAGCUGAGGAACAGCUAGCAAUAACCCGUCACUGAAUCGGGCGCGCCGGCGCGGGAAAGGGACGCCAAGAUUUGAAGACGAUUCCGAGGGACGUACAGUGCUGCAGUUUAGAUUGCUACUUGUGCGUUAAGCUGCUACUUGUGCGUUAAGCUAAUCACUUGUGGCAAGAGGCAGGGAUUACGAGGUUUCAGUUUCAGCGGCCAAAAUUGUUUGCACUAUGCUAUGUACUUCAAUUUAACUUAACCCGGGUACUACUGUGGCUCUGAGCAUCGAAGUAAGAGCGAAGAGUAAGGAGGGGGGAAAAGAUGUGCCAGAUCUGCUGCCUGGGGAAACAGUAUUCAUUGUUUCAAGAGAUACGGUUCAGAAAUAUUGGGUGGAACCUUCGCCUGCAUGCAUGACUCCACGAUCUCAAUGUUGGUAGAGGAACUGAAAUGUUUCUUCUCCCUUGGUCGGUCUCCCCACUGUUAAAAAUGCACAGAAAGAUCCUAGUUUCUAGGUCAGUAAUUUACAUUUUCCACAACUCUGAACCUGUGUUGUCUGCAAGAAGCUUAGCUGUUAAGGGUCAUGUAACUUCCCGGCUGGCUCAGGAAUUGUUCGGGCUUGAAUUUAGUUUUUCCUUAUUUUAGGUGUGAACCAAAAUGGAUUUUAUGAAUGCAAAAUAUGAUAAACUACUCCUUUGCUGCAUGUAUGUAAUAUGACCAUGUAAUAUGAUAAACUACUCCUUUGCUCACUGUCUUCCGAACCUCGCGAGUUGACUGCUCACUGGUCAGUGGUUGCAGCCGUAGUUUUUCUGAGUAAUCAGCCUGUUUGAGUCCUUGUCAGUGGUAAGGCUCAACGCUUUCAGCGUUGCACGGCCAAUUUGUUGUAUGUCCCGUUUCUUCAUUUCUUCGUAAUAUAAUGACACUCCAAUGUUUGGCACGUUCCAGGAACAACAACAUAAGUAUAAUCUAUCCAACUUCACCUCCCAUCUGAUGCGCACUUAAGCCAGGCUUGCUGUUUACUGCAUUUUGAACUGAAGGAUGCACUUGGUGCAACCUUCAUGUAGCACAAGGUUUUGUAGCCCUGUGAAAUCGAUAAUCUACUUAAAUGUUUCUUUGUAAACCAUGCCUCUUGCAUGAUACUUACCAUGUUGUUCCCUUUCUUCCAUUGCGCAUACGGUAUGAUGAUGCCUUCUGUUCGCACAUCUAGUUUGUAACAACACCCUCCUUCCCUGUAUCAGUAACUUUUCCCGUGCUAAAUUCUGCAGUUUCAAUGUCUGGCAAGUACAUUAUCGCUGGUCUUGUUGGCUCCUUUGCCAUUGCGUAUGCUUCGGACGUCAUAGUGGCACAGAAGAA